Molecule: ribosomal RNA, 630 nt
Filed under: Falcocladium sphaeropedunculatum
Lineage: Eukaryota; Fungi; Ascomycota; Sordariomycetes; Falcocladiales; Falcocladiaceae
Description: eukaryotic LSU rRNA
Rfam family: 5.8S ribosomal RNA (bases 303-456)
Source: RNAcentral
GUAAAAAGUCGUAACAAGGUCUCCGUUGGUGAACCAGCGGAGGGAUCAUUACAGAGUUUUCAACUCAUUAACCCUUUGUGAACUUAUUCCGCUCUGUUGCUUCGGCAGGCGGGUGCUGGCAAAAAAGAGUGCGGUUCUUCGGAGCGGCUCUUUUUAGGCGCCCCACUGGCCCCUGCGCUCCGGCGCUAGGGGUGUCUGCCGGAGGCCAUCUAGGCGCUGAUUUUUAUACUACGUGUAAAGAAGACUGUAGCAAUACAGUUGGAUUUUACUGUUUUUUCAGAACAAAAAACAAAUCAAAUUACAACUUUUAGCAAUGGAUCUCUUGGUUCUGACAUCGAUGAAGAACGCAGCGAAAUGCGAUACGUAAUGUGAAUUGCAGAUUUCAGUGAAUCAUCGAAUCUUUGAACGCACCUUGCGCCCGCUAGUAUUCUAGCGGGCAUGCCUAUUCGAGCGUCAUUUCUACCCUCAAGCUUCGGCUUGGUGUUGGAGGAUUUCUGCGUCUCUCGGGACAAGAAACCUCUGAAAUACAGCGGCGAUAGUGCUUCUGGCCGUCCCCUGCAAAGUAAAUUUCAUACUGGCAGUUUGGGAUCCAGGCACGAGUUAGCCUCUAAAAACCCCUAUUUUUCAAUA